RNAcentral lists this ribosomal RNA (26 nucleotides) under uncultured Glomus. RNAcentral describes it as "partial 28S ribosomal RNA". Lineage: Eukaryota; Fungi; Glomeromycota; Glomeromycetes; Glomerales; Glomeraceae. The record is from RNAcentral.
AUUGACCUCAAAUCCGGGAGAGGCCA